Molecule: long non-coding RNA, 1305 nt
Filed under: Trifolium pratense (red clover)
Lineage: Eukaryota; Viridiplantae; Streptophyta; Magnoliopsida; Fabales; Fabaceae
Description: long non-coding RNA (TPRA_LNC002550)
Source: RNAcentral
ACUAUAAAAUUAAAUAAUAUCUUUAUAUCUUUAUGGUAUAAUACUAAGAAAAUAUUCGCUUCAGAAAAAAAAUACUAAGAAAAUAUUCCUACUAAACACCCUAUUUAAUUACUUAAACAUCUAUGGAAACGACUUGAAUAUUUUCGCCAUAAUUGUUGGGUAUAGUGUUUGGAUUCUGGGCCCUGCUAAGUGUCCUCUUUUUCAAUUUAUUAUACAAAAAGGCAUGCAAAUACCCAAUCAGCAAGCCCAGAACAAUAGUGCCGAACACCAUGGCCGCGAUAUAUCCACCAAUAGGAGACUCUUCUUUUGUCAUCGCUGUUUUCAGUCAAAAAUAAAAUAGUAAGAAAUAAAAACUAAAAAAUGGAAAAGUAUAAAAUGAAUCGAUGAUACUCCAACGAUUCAGGUCAACACCACUAUAUCGAUCCAAGUGGGUUUUUGUUUUAACUAAUGUUAUUUCGUUUUUCUUGUUAGUGUGAACAGUAAACAAAUCAAGCAUAUCAUGGCAUGGUAGGUAUUAGUGCAGCAAACAAUAUUAAUUAAUAACAAAACAAAAUAAAUCAAAGAAAGUAAAGUAAAAUGAAGUACUUAGGAUGGAUUGAAAGAAAAAAAGUAUAUUGAAAGAAUGAGUGUACCGAGAUGCUUUUUUAUUAUCCUUUUUCUGCCGAAUCUCCUCCUCUUUAUCUCAUGCUUAUAGACCCAUAUUUAUACUCUCAUGUUAUUAGGGUUUUAGUCAUUAAUCAUAUAAAUCAAUCAAAUCCUACCCUUACAAACUUACAAAAAAAAUUUGUCAAAAAAAAUCAAUUUAAAAAUUAUUACAUAAGAAACAAAUAAAAAACCUAUCAAAUUCACCGUAAACAAAAAAAAAAUUAUUAAAUAUAAAUCAAUCAAAUCCUCCCCUUACAAAAACUUGUAAAAAAAAAAAAAAUUUAAAAUUUAUUACAUAAGAAACAAUUAAAAAACCUACCAAAUUCACCGUAAACAAAAAAAGUAUAUAUUAAAAAGAUCUAUUGGUCAAAAGAAAUAUAUAUUAAAAAGAACUUCUACUGAAAAUUUUAAUUUCCCCUCAUCAAUUUUUUUUUUAAUCAAAAAGAGGGCCUUGAGCCCGAGAAAAGAAGAUUACACCGAAAUAAAGUGAGGGUUAGUGAUCCCUAAAAUAUCCGCUACUAACAAAUACCUAAUGUCAUUUCUCCUCAUCAAUUUUAAUAAUACUAGUAAGAAAAUCAAAAAAUAAAAUAAAAAUCACUAGUCCAACGCAUGUUCCUUACCCGUGUGAUGCCCACAUGUCCUCAACCAAGUGACCUCUCG